Molecule: ribosomal RNA, 523 nt
Filed under: uncultured bacterium
Lineage: Bacteria
Description: partial 16S ribosomal RNA
Rfam family: Bacterial small subunit ribosomal RNA
Source: RNAcentral
GACGAACGCUGGCGGCGUGCCUAAUACAUGCAAGUCGAACGCUUUUUCUUUCACCGGAGCUUGCUCCACCGAAAGAAAAAGAGUGGCGAACGGGUGAGUAACACGUGGGUAACCUGCCCAUCAGAAGGGGAUAACACUUGGAAACAGGUGCUAAUACCGUAUAACACUAUUUUCCGCAUGGAAGAAAGUUGAAAGGCGCUUUUGCGUCACUGAUGGAUGGACCCGCGGUGCAUUAGCUAGUUGGUGAGGUAACGGCUCACCAAGGCAACGAUGCAUAGCCGACCUGGGAGGGUGAUCGGCCACACUGGGACUGAGACACGGCCCAGACUCCUACGGGAGGCAGCAGGAGGGAAUCUUCGGCAAUGGACGAAAGUCUGACCGAGCAACGCCGCGUGAGUGAAGAAGGUUUUCGGAUCGUAAAACUCUGUUGUUAGAGAAGAACAAGGAUGAGAGUAAAAUGUUCAUCCCUUGACGGUAUCUAACCAGAAAGCCACGGCUAACUACGUGCCAGCCGCCGCGGUAA